Molecule: ribosomal RNA, 305 nt
Filed under: uncultured bacterium
Lineage: Bacteria
Description: bacterial SSU rRNA
Rfam family: Bacterial small subunit ribosomal RNA
Source: RNAcentral
UCCCUACGGGACGCAGCAGUGGGGAAUAUUGCACAAUGGGGGAAACCCUGAUGCAGCGACGCCGCGUGAGCGAAGAAGUAUUUCGGUAUGUAAAGCUCUAUCAGCAGGGAAGAAAAAUGACGGUACCUGAGUAAGAAGCACCGGCUAAAUACGUGCCAGCAGCCGCGGUAAUACGUAUGGAGCAAGCGUUAUCCGGAUUUAUUGGGUUUAAAGGGUGCGUAGGCGGGCUGUUAAGUCAGCGGUAAAAGCCCGGGGCUCAACCCCGGCGAGCCGUUGAAACUGGCUGUCUUGAGAUGUCGAGAGGG